RNAcentral lists this ribosomal RNA (113 nucleotides) under Achromobacter sp. RNAcentral also lists the same sequence under 3 other names. Lineage: Bacteria; Pseudomonadati; Pseudomonadota; Betaproteobacteria; Burkholderiales; Alcaligenaceae. The record is from RNAcentral.
CUUGACGACCAUAGCAAGGUGGUCCCACUCCUUCCCAUCCCGAACAGGACCGUGAAACGCCUUCGCGCCGAUGAUAGUGGACGUACGUCUGUGAAAGUAGGUCAUCGUCAGGC